Molecule: long non-coding RNA, 565 nt
Organism: Conger conger (European conger)
Lineage: Eukaryota; Metazoa; Chordata; Actinopteri; Anguilliformes; Congridae
Exons: 2
Source: RefSeq, a predicted model, not a curated record
UAUACAUAUAACAUAUUAUAUAUGUCAGAAGCGAGCAGGAAAUGUGUUUGAGGUAACAAAAUGUGUGUGAGGUUACAAACAUGCAAAACCUCUUUGUCAGCCCUCAGCAAGGGAAAAGCCAAAGAACUGUCAAUACAGAAGACACAAUUGGUAAAUCACUGUCACAAGGGUAAUGAGUACGAAAAAAAAAAACAUAAUGUUAUGUUUUGGGUUUUGGUGUUGGUUGCGUGUGUUUUCUGUUUCCUUUUUCUGUUUCCCCCCUGGCAGUGUAGGUGUGUGGCAGUGGGCGUGGCUGGACUGUUGGUACAUCUACGAGGCACACCUGGCAGCAAUCAUCCAAUUACCCCGCUCCAUAAAAGCCUGGCUUCACUCCACUCCGGUGCCGAAUUAUUUCCGACGACAAAUAGCCCGAGUGCCUCGCCUCCUGUUUGAACUCUGACGCUGGCUCCCUCGUUGUGGCUAUCCCGGUUCGUGGUGCCUACAGUCCGGUCCGCCCGCUGCCUCCUCUACACGCCAGCGUUUUUGUUAUUGUUUUCUUAUUGAAUACAUUUUAGUUUGUAUCCUC